CCUGCACACCUGUCCCCGCAACAGGUAGGAGCUCGGGAAGCGCUGGUGACCCAGUGAUGCUACAGCCUCUUAAGGUACCUCGUCUUAGGAAGUCAAAGAAGCUGCUUGGCCGCAAAGUGCUAACUUCUGGAAGGCGGAGACCGCGGCACCUGCCGUGAUGUGGUGCUGUGACUGCGGGGAGAGAAUGGAUUCCGAGGAUGUACAUUUGUGUCGCUGCAACUGAUUCUCUGCAGAAUACCCCCAAGAGAAGACUGUGAUCAGAGUUACCCACUGAGACAUGCAGCACAACCAGGAAAUAACCACAGACAACGCAGAGCUGAAGGGGAAAGAAAAUGUUUUUACUGGAUUUUGAUGAACAUAAGAUGUCCUAGGCUCUGA
RNAcentral lists this long non-coding RNA (378 nucleotides) under Canis lupus familiaris (dog). RNAcentral describes it as "lncRNA (ENSCAFG00845028107.1)". The record is from RNAcentral. Lineage: Eukaryota; Metazoa; Chordata; Mammalia; Carnivora; Canidae.